This 254-nucleotide ribosomal RNA is filed under the name uncultured bacterium. Its description in RNAcentral is "partial 16S ribosomal RNA". It matches the Rfam family "Bacterial small subunit ribosomal RNA", at positions 524 to 776 of the family's 1533-position model. The record is from RNAcentral.
UACAGAGGGUGCGAGCGUUGUUCGGAAUUAUUGGGCGUAAAGAGCGUGUAGGCGGCCCGGUAAGUCCGCUGUGAAAGUCGAGGGCUCAACCCUCGAAAUGCCGGCGGAUACUGUCGGGCUAGAGUCCGGAAGAGGCGAGUGGAAUUCCUGGUGUAGCGGUGAAAUGCGCAGAUAUCAGGAGGAACACCUACGGCGAAGGCAGCUCGCUGGGACGGUACUGACGCUGAGACGCGAAAGCGUGGGGAGCAAACAGG